GUAGUUUAUAGACAUAUAUUUUUAUUAACUAAAUUUAAACAUCUGAUAGGUAAGCUUUCAGAAUAUAGAUAAAUGAUAGUAUUCAAAAGAAAAAGCAGUUUAAAUUUUGAUAAAAAGAAUAAUUAAAAAAAAAUUGAUCAAUAAACUUCAAAUUAUUUAAAUAACUUUUUAAACUUUUUAAAAACAAUUACGUACAGUUAAGUCAAUUUUUUCAACUAACAAACUUUUUGAUAUCAGUUACAAAGAUAUUAAAAAAUUAAUUUGCAGUUGAAAUACCAUUGGUAUAAAAAUGUGGCAGUUAGAUAAUGUGACAAAAUAUUUCCGCUUCAAAAUAAGCUGUCCUACAUAUUAAAGUAAUGACAAAUUUAAAUUUGAUGUCACAUCUCCAUCUACAAUGGUAUAAAAAGAAUACACUUUUUACCACACGUCGAUAUGUUAUAAGGUUAAAAUAAUUUGUUUUUGACAUAAAACAUAUUCAGCUACAAUCCACCAAUAAAUGAAUGUCUAAUUACGCUAAAAACAAAAAUAAAAUGAGUUAAAUAUUAAAUAAGUCCAUAAGAGCUAAUGUAUUUGUAGCACCUAUUCGAACACUUGCGCCUCUAGCGGCGAUUGCUGAAAGUUGAAUUAGAGGUUGAAAAGUUAGCCCACAAACGAUGCAUUGCGUUUCCACUCCUUCUUACAGGUCUCCAUAGUCAUCACAUUUCAUUUUCAUAACAUAACCGAUAACCUAAAAAUUUAGUAAAGUAAAAAUUUUGAUUGGAAAAAAGUGCAUCGAUAAGGGGGUGUGGGAAAUGGAAAUUAGUGGCUUUUUUGCUGUACUGUCUGCUAGUUUUUGCUCUGGGCUCUGGCUAGAUCUCUUGUUUAAACAAUUUUAAUCAGCUGAAAGUGGCCUACAAAAAAAAACCAAGAAGGAAAUGUAUAGCCUUGUGGCUAUGAAAGGCAAAAGAGAGAUAUAAAAAGUGUAUUGGCUAGUUGGAAGAAAGUCCACAUUGUCCAUGCAUAAUAAGUUAUUACUUUAUCAACAAAUAUCAAGAAGAUAGCAGGGUCACGAGCAUCAACUUCAUAAGUUCAAGAAUAUCGAGGAAAUCCAGCUCCUCGAUACUACUGGGCAAACUAGAAGAUUGAAGAGGACAAAUCCUUUUGAACUAGUUUGAGUGAUAGGUGAUAGUGAAAAACGGAGCAUAGUGCUUGUGUGCUGUGCCUGUGUAUGUUAGAAUAAUAGUGCACGAUCUUGUUAGAUUAGAUAAGAGACGCUAUGGGGUAAGCUCUUCAUUUUAAGAAAAAGUAGUAAUUUAGGUUAAAUUAAAAUUGCUCAUUGGUCAGUUAUGACCAGAUUGUUUUUUUAUGUUUGGCAAACAGGACUUAAGUCAGAAUUGCACAUUGAUAAUGUUUUGAUGAUUUCUGCACCAGAAAAAAACUGUUGUAGAUGUAAACUGUAUGUACAGUAGAAUCUACUACAGUACUGUAGAAAUCAUCAAAACAUUAUCGAUGUGCAAUUCUGACUUAAGCCCUUUUUCCCAAACAUCAGAGAAUUGUACAAUAAUUCUCCUAUCUGCUUUUUCAUGAAUUUUGUAGGAGACGAAAAACCAUUUUUAGGAUCAUCUGCUUUCACAUGUAAAUUUUGACAUGUUUUGUAGUAAAUAGAUAGUUGAAUUUACUACAAAACAUGUCAAAAAAUAUAUGAAAACAGGAGGUGACUAUAAAAAAAGUUUUUAGUCUCUCUUACAAAACUCAUGAAAAAACAAAUCGGAGGUAUGUCACAUCAGUGACUAAGAAUGUCUAAAAAAUAUACUUUGAUGUCCCAAGAACCAAAUAUAACCUACAGUCCAUCUAAUUUACUUACUGUUCCACGUCAUUAUCUACGCCAGAGAUCUAAGUUGACAUAGUUGCCAAGUAUAAAAAGAUCCUGAAUCCAUUUUAAAUCAAAUAUGUCACAUAAUUAUUGUAAACGUGGAUUAUACAACAAAACAAAUUAAUAUUCAAUGUAAAUAAGUAAAAACUUAAGAAAUAGAGAACAAGAAUUAAGUUAUAAUCUUUUAAGAUUUGCAGUGCAAGAGUUUUUGCACUGCAUUGUUAAUAAUUAAAAAACGGCUCCGAACUCUUGGCAAAAAGCCGGUAGGUUUCUUUGUAUAAGUAUGUCUACAAUAACAACUAAAAAAGUUGUCAGAUACCUCGAUUAUUCCAAGUCGUUAUAAAAUUAGGUGAAAUUUAUAUUUUUUAUAGUAGAGGAUCUUUUUAUAGUAAAGUAAAUAAUAAAAACAGUAAAUAUAAUAAAUAAAACAGAUACUUAUAGUAAAGAAUAUAAACAAAUAUGAAGUGUCAUCACCGUAACUGUCAAAUAAAUGUUACCAAUUUAUUCUAAAAUGUCACCUUCGUUCGAUUACAGUUACAGUGUGAUCCGAACAAAUCUGCUUCAUAAAAACGCUUUAUAAUCCAUUUAUACAAAUAAAUGAAACAUAUUAUUGUGUAUUUCUUUAGGUUAACAUUAAUAGAAAUCUUCAAAUAUUAUUUCUACGCGUAUAUAAUAAAAUAUGUCUAGUGGCUGUAAUUCCAGUGUACUCGGCAAAGUGAUUCUAAAAAAGAACACACCUACCGCCUAAAUAUUUCGUGUUGGUAUCAUGCGACCUCACAGGCUACGACGUGGAUGACGCGCAACAGUUAGUAAAUUAGACGAAGUAUGUAGAUAUAUACAGGGUGU
Molecule: long non-coding RNA, 2698 nt
Organism: Diabrotica virgifera virgifera (western corn rootworm)
Lineage: Eukaryota; Metazoa; Arthropoda; Insecta; Coleoptera; Chrysomelidae
Exons: 2
Source: RefSeq, a predicted model, not a curated record